RNAcentral lists this ribosomal RNA (406 nucleotides) under uncultured bacterium. RNAcentral's name for it is "partial 16S ribosomal RNA". It matches the Rfam family "Bacterial small subunit ribosomal RNA", at positions 28 to 526 of the family's 1533-position model. The record is from RNAcentral.
GACGAACGCUGGCGGCGUGCUUAACACAUGCAAGUCGAACGCGUGGCGAACAGGUGAGUAAUACGUGGGUAACCUGCCCUCUUUUUGGGAUAAGCCUUUGAAAACGGGUCUAAUACCCAAUAACGGGGGAUGGGGUCGCGGCCUAUCAGCUGGGUGGUGGGGAGGUGGCCUACCAAGGCGGUGCCGGGUAGCCGGGCUGAGAGGGUGACCUGGAACAGUGGGACGGGGAUACGGCCCAGAGUAGGACGGGAGGGAGAAGUUGGGGAUAUUGCAGAAAGGGUGAAGGACUGAUGCAGCGACGCUGAGUGGGGGAUGCAGGCUUUCGGGUUGUAAAAGUCUUGCGCAAGGGAACGGGUAGGUGGAGAAGAAGCGCCGGCUAACUACGUGCCAGCAGCCGCGGUAAUAC